Long non-coding RNA from Culex pipiens pallens (northern house mosquito), 674 nucleotides. RefSeq lists it as uncharacterized. NCBI's taxonomy places the organism in Eukaryota, Metazoa, Arthropoda, Insecta, Diptera, Culicidae. The transcript is spliced from 2 exons. The record is from RefSeq and is a predicted model, not a curated record.
CUAUAAGCUGCUGUGUAUCAUAUUUUUAUAGAACCUUUUCAAAAAAAAUCUAGAUUUUGAUAUUUUGAAAAAGAACUGCAAAAUUUUAAAAUUUAUCUAUCUUUGAUUUAUAAUUCAAAAAUUUUAAAUAUACGUAGCUCAGGGGAUGACCCAUAUCAAACCAAACAGAAAUCGUGGUUUAGGUACUGCCCACUGCCAAAACUUCUUAAAGCUCACUCACACACACUCAUAGCGUCCGUCGCUCUCACUGACGGCCCGUCAAAUCAAUCGUUUUGCCAGUUUUGCUUUUGAGAUUUUUUUGCGGUCUUGUGACGACAUGGAGAAGUAAAUUUUGAAGAAACCAAUGUAAAACUCGGUUAAAGAAUAUGACUUGUCAAGCAGGUUGCCGGCUCGGUUGCUGGCCCAGGAAACCUUUAGAAUGCUGCUCGUGGGGGAAAGUUGGAGUAAAGUCGAGAGGUUUGACCAUGACGAUGUUCCAGCUACCGGUCAAGAACGAAUUGGUGGUGAGCAGAAGUUAGAACCGCGAUAGCGUCGGUCAAAGAUCUUUUCUGGGCAUGAUCGGUGAAGUGCAUCUUACGAGCAACGAGUGCAGCAGUGAAAUUAUGUGUGGAAUUUGUUGUACAGUGAUGUUUUGAGUAGAGGUUCAUGAAUAAAAAGUCGAAAACAAAAAACAA